Molecule: ribosomal RNA, 468 nt
Filed under: uncultured bacterium
Lineage: Bacteria
Description: partial 16S ribosomal RNA
Rfam family: Bacterial small subunit ribosomal RNA
Source: RNAcentral
GACGAACGCUGGCGGCGUGCUUAACACAUGCAAGUCGAACGGAAAGGCCCUGCUUUUGUGGGGUGCUCGAGUGGCGAACGGGUGAGUAACACGUGAGUAACCUGCCCUUGACUUUGGGAUAACUUCAGGAAACUGGGGCUAAUACCGGAUAGGAGCUCCUGCUGCAUGGUGGGGGUUGGAAAGUUUCGGCGGUUGGGGAUGGACUCGCGGCUUAUCAGCUUGUUGGUGGGGUAGUGGCUUACCAAGGGUUUGACGGGUAGCCGGCCUGAGAGGGUUAACGGGCACAUUGGGACUGCGAGACGGCCCAGACGCCUACGGGAGGCAGCAGUGGGGAAUAUUGCACAAUGGGCGGAAGCCUGAUGCAGCAACGCCGCGUGCGGGAUGACGGCCUUCGGGUGGUAAACCGCUUUCGACUGUGACGAAGCGUGAGUGACGGUAAUGGGUAAAGAAGCACCGGCUAACUACGUG